Molecule: small nuclear RNA, 107 nt
Organism: Otolemur garnettii (small-eared galago)
Lineage: Eukaryota; Metazoa; Chordata; Mammalia; Primates; Galagidae
Source: Ensembl
GUGCUUGCUUCGGCAGCACAUAUACUGAAAUUGGAACGAUACAGAGAAGAUUAGCAUGGCCCCUGUGCAAGGAUGACACGCAAAUUCAAGUGAUCCACCUGCCUUGG